ACUUAUUGUGAAGGAUUCUGGAAGGUAUUUUCUUAAGAAGAUAGGUGGCAGUUAACAGACAAUCCCCCCAGAAAGACACAGGUAGGCCAGAUUGAAAAAGCAGGGCUCUACAUGUUUCAAAGAGUGUUCUGUGUUUUUUUUUCAACAACACCAUUCUGUUGAGGUGAAUGAGGGCAGGAGGUUUGAUGAAUAAUCCCCUUGCUACUAAAAAAGGAUAUUCCCUCAGUGUUGGAUCCCAGUUCUAAUGCAUUGUCACUUCUGACAGUCUGAACCACAGAGUUAAACUGAGUUUUAACAAAAGAGAUGAAAGACUUAAGUAGGGAAAAGGCAUUGCUUUUGGAUCCCAUUAAGUGUGUCCAGGUUUCCCUAGAAAUGUCAUCAACUAUAGUAAGGAAGUAUUUGUAACCAGAAGAAGUAGAAGUGUGGUAAGGACCCCAAGUAUCCACAUGUAUUAAUUAGAAUGGUCUAGUUGUACUGAUACUGCUGUCAUGAAAAGGGAGUCUAGUAUGUUUGGCCAUAGGGCAAACAGAACAGGGAAAAGGUUGUUUAGAAGCAAGAGGAAAAGACAAACCAGAAAUAUGUCUCAUAUUUGCAAAAGGAGUGUGUGCUAGUCUUAAAUGCCAAAUGUAAUUCAUAUCAUUGGUAAAAACAUUAUUACAAAUGGUAUUAUUUACAAUUGGAGGCAAAGCAACAGUUUUGCUGUCAGACACAUUGUCAUCAUUACAAAAAUCAGACAAAGCACACACAGACAACAUCAUUAUUACAAAUGGAAUUGUUUACAAUUGGAGGUAAGCCAACAUUUUUGCUGUCGGACACAGUGUCAUCAUUACAAAAAUCAGACAAAGCACACACAGAAGUAAAAGGGGAAACAGGAGAGGGAGAAGGGGAAUGAGGCACCCAAGACAGUUUGUAUAAGCCAGCUUCCUCUUUACCAAGAUCCAGAGGCCUCUUCAAAGAAGGGUCCUGUAUCAUGUGAAGUAAACAGGAAGUUGGAGUAAACAAAACUAUACAGUGCAACUGUUUAAUCAACUUGUGAACAGAAAUCAAGUUGUGUUUAAAGGAAGGAACCAGAACCACAUUAUGAAGAGUAAGGGAAGAAGUUAACAAUUAGGUAAAGUCACAAGAUAAGGAACAGUCAAGGUUAUGAUGUUAAAGAGUAGGUUUUUAUCAUGUGUCAUAUGGUUAGAUGCCCCUGAAUCAAUGAUUUAGGUGACAGAAUUAAUGUGUGUAAGCAUGCAUAAUUUGGAAUCAGAAACAAGACUCUCAGUCAACAUUGUACCGACAAAAUUAGCAGCACACAUGGGAGGAGGAGCUUGAUCACUGGAAUCCCCUAACUUAGUCUGUUGCAACAGGUUCAUCAAUUGAUCAUAGUGAUGUCUGCUCAACCCUGGUAUCACAGAACUGUGACCAUCUAUGUGGCUGGCAGAAGGAUCCCCAAGAGGAANNNNNNNNNNNNNNNNNNNNNNNNNNNNNNNNNNNNNNNNCAUUAUGAAGAGUAAGGGAAGAAGUUAAUGCAAAAGAACCUGUACAAGUUACUUUUACUUUGUAACCAUUAGGCAAAGUUACAAGAUAAGGAACAGUCAAGGGUAUGAUGUUAAAGAGUAGUUUUUUUAUCAUGUGUCAUAUGAUUAGGUGCCCCUGAAUCAAUGAUCCAGGUGACAGAAUUAAUAUGGGUAAGCAUGCAUAAUUUGGAAUCAGAAACAAGACUCUCAGUCAACAUAGUACCAGCAAAAUUAN
RNAcentral lists this long non-coding RNA (1737 nucleotides) under Nicotiana benthamiana. RNAcentral describes it as "long non-coding RNA (NBEN_LNC026143)". The record is from RNAcentral. Lineage: Eukaryota; Viridiplantae; Streptophyta; Magnoliopsida; Solanales; Solanaceae.